RNAcentral lists this ribosomal RNA (454 nucleotides) under uncultured bacterium. Its description in RNAcentral is "bacterial SSU rRNA". It matches the Rfam family "Bacterial small subunit ribosomal RNA", at positions 355 to 801 of the family's 1533-position model. The record is from RNAcentral.
UGGGGAAUAUUGGACAAUGGGCGAAAGCCUGAUCCAGCCAUGCCGCGUGUGUGAAGAAGGUCUUCGGAUUGUAAAGCACUUUAAGUUGGGAGGAAGGGCAGUUACCUAAUACGUGAUUGUUUUGACGUUACCGACAGAAUAAGCACCGGCUAACUCUGUGCCAGCAGCCGCGGUAAUACAGAGGGUGCAAGCGUUAAUCGGAAUUACUGGGCGUAAAGCGCGCGUAGGUGGUUAGUUAAGUUGGAUGUGAAAUCCCCGGGCUCAACCUGGGAACUGCAUUCAAAACUGACUGACUAGAGUAUGGUAGAGGGUGGUGGAAUUUCCUGUGUAGCGGUGAAAUGCGUAGAUAUAGGAAGGAACACCAGUGGCGAAGGCGACCACCUGGACUGAUACUGACACUGAGGUGCGAAAGCGUGGGGAGCAAACAGGAUUAGAUACCCAAGUAGUCCCUGAG